GACGAACGCUGGCGGCGUGCUUAACACAUGCAAGUCGAACGGAAAGGCCCUGCUUUUGCGGGGUGCUCGUGUGGCGAACGGGUGAGUAACACGUGAGUAACCUGCCCUUGACUUUCGGGUAACUUCAGGAAACUGCGGAUCAUACCGGAUAGGAGCUCCUGAUCCAUGGGGGUGGUUGGAAAGUGUCGGCGGUGCGGGAUCGACUCGAGGCUUAUCAGCUUGUUGGUGGGGUAGUGGCGGACCAAGGGUUCGACGGGUAGGCGGCCUGGGAGGUUGACCGGCGACAUGGGGACUGAGAUAGGGCGCAGACGGCAACGGGCGGCAGCAGUGGGGAAUAUUGCAGAAUGGGCGGGAGCCUGAUGCAGCAGUGCCGCGUGCGGGAUGAUGGCCUUCGGGUGGUAAACCGCUUUGGCCGGUGACGAGGAGUGAGUGACGGUAAUGGGUAAAGAAGCACCGGCUAACUACGUG
RNAcentral lists this ribosomal RNA (468 nucleotides) under uncultured bacterium. RNAcentral describes it as "partial 16S ribosomal RNA". It matches the Rfam family "Bacterial small subunit ribosomal RNA", at positions 28 to 507 of the family's 1533-position model. The record is from RNAcentral.